Molecule: unclassified non-coding RNA, 239 nt
Filed under: plant metagenome
Description: partial contains small subunit ribosomal RNA, internal transcribed spacer 1, and 5.8S ribosomal RNA
Source: RNAcentral
UCUCCGUAGGUGAACCUGCGGAGGGAUCAUUACAGAGUUCGUGCCCUCACGGGUAGAUCUCCCACCCUGUGUUAUUAUACCUUUGUUGCUUUGGCGGGCCGCCCUCGGCUACCGGCCCCGGCUGGUACGCGCCCGUCAGAGGACCCCAAACUCUGAAUGUUAGUGUCGUCUGAGUACUAUACAAUAGUUAAAACUUUCAACAACGGAUCUCUUGGUUCUGGCAUCGAGAAGAACGCAGC